This 250-nucleotide unclassified non-coding RNA is filed under the name plant metagenome. RNAcentral describes it as "partial contains small subunit ribosomal RNA, internal transcribed spacer 1, and 5.8S ribosomal RNA". The record is from RNAcentral.
GUAGGUGAACCUGCGGAAGGAUCAUUAAUGAAACUUUGAAGUCGGUCAACUGUGCUGGCGACACCAUCGCAUGUGCACGCUGGUCGCAAAUCCACACACUUGUGCACCUCUAACCUCGAGGCCCGCUCAUUUGAGCAACCGGGUUGCCUCAUUGGUAACCUGAGCCUUCUGGGGUGUUUACACACGCGCAUGUAAAGGAAUGUCUAUUGUGCUUAACAGCGCAUCUAAUACAACUUUCAACAACGGAUCU